CCCUUAGAUGUUCUGGGCUGCACGCGCGCUACACUGAAGCGUUCAACGAGUAUUUCACCUUGCCCGGGAGGGUUGGGUAAUCUUUUUAAAACGCUUCGUGAUGGGGAUAGAUUAUUGCAAUUAUUAAUCUUCAACGAGGAAUUCCUAGUAAGCGCGAGUCAUCAGCUUGCGCUGAUUACGUCCCUGCCCUUUGUACACACCGCCCGUCGCUACUACCGAUUGAAUGGUUUAGUGAGAUCUCUGGAUUGACGCUGGCUAGGGGGCGACCCUUGGCCAGACUGUUGAGAAACUGCUCAAACUUGAUCAUUUAGAGGAAGUAAAAGUCGUAACA
RNAcentral lists this ribosomal RNA (331 nucleotides) under uncultured eukaryote. RNAcentral's name for it is "partial 18S ribosomal RNA". It matches the Rfam family "Eukaryotic small subunit ribosomal RNA", at positions 1470 to 1796 of the family's 1831-position model. The record is from RNAcentral.